Molecule: non-coding RNA, 73 nt
Organism: Rhizophagus irregularis
Lineage: Eukaryota; Fungi; Glomeromycota; Glomeromycetes; Glomerales; Glomeraceae
Source: Rfam
GGGGGUCUAGCUCAGAUGGUAGAGCGCUCGCUUAGCAUGCGAGAGGUACUGAGAUCGAUACUCAGGUCCUCCA